UCGAGUGAAGGGCUCCGGCCCGACCUCCAACCCCAUGUAAUUCGACCCUGUUGCCUCGGGGGUGACCCGGCCUUCGGGCGGGGUGCCCCCGGUGGACCACUCAACUCUGCAUCUUUGCGUCUGGAUAUACAUGAAAAUGAAUCA
This 144-nucleotide unclassified non-coding RNA is filed under the name uncultured fungus. RNAcentral describes it as "sequence contains ITS1". Lineage: Eukaryota; Fungi. The record is from RNAcentral.